GAUGAACGCUGGCGGCGUGCCUAAUACAUGCAAGUCGAGCGAACAGACGAGGAGCUUGCUCCUCUGACGUUAGCGGCGGACGGGUGAGUAACACGUGGAUAACCUACCUAUAAGACUGGUAUAACUUCGGGAAACCGGAGCUAAUACCGGAUAAUAUAUUGAACCGCAUGGUUCAAUAGUGAAAUACGGUUUUGCUGUCACUUAUAGAUGGAUCCGCGCCGCAUUAGCUAGUUGGUAAGGUAACGGCUUACCAAGGCGACGAUGCGUAGCCGACCUGAGAGGGGGAUCGGCCACACUGGAACGGAGACACGGUCCAGACUACUACGGGAGGCAGCAGUAGGGAAUCGUCCGCAAUGGGCGAAAGCCUGACGGAGCAACGCCGAGUGAGUGAUGAAGGUCUUCGGAUCGUAAAACUCUGUUAUUAGGGAAGAACAAAUGUGUAAGUAAAUAUGCACGUCUUGACAGUACCUAAUCAGAAAGCCACGGCUAACUACGUG
This 497-nucleotide ribosomal RNA is filed under the name uncultured bacterium. Its description in RNAcentral is "partial 16S ribosomal RNA". It matches the Rfam family "Bacterial small subunit ribosomal RNA", at positions 28 to 507 of the family's 1533-position model. The record is from RNAcentral.